UCGGGAAUUUUGGGCAAUGGGCGAAAGCCUGACCCAGCAACGCCGCGUGAGGGAUGAAGGCCUUCGGGUCGUAAACCUCUGUCGGGAGGGAAGAACGUCCACGGGGCGAACAGUCCCGGGGGCUGACGGUACCUCCAAAGGAAGCGCCGGCUAACUCCGUGCCAGCAGCCGCGGUAAUACGGAGGGCGCAAGCGUUGUUCGGAAUCAUUGGGCGUAAAGCGCGUGUAGGCGGCUUGGUAAGUCGAGUGUGAAAGCCCGGGGGCUCAACCCCGGAAGGUCGCUCGAAACUGCCUCGCUCGAGUCCCGGAGAGGAAGGCGGAAUUCCCGGUGUAGAGGUGAAAUUCGUAGAUAUCGGGAGGAACACCAGCGGCGAAGGCGGCCUUCUGGACGGUGACUGACGCUGAGACGCGAAAGCGUGGGGAGCAAACAGGAUUAGAUACCCUGGUAGUCCACGCCGUAAACGUUGGGUGCUAGGUGUCGCGGGUAUUGACCCCUGCGGUGCCGCCGCUAACGCAUUAAGCA
This 522-nucleotide ribosomal RNA is filed under the name uncultured Pseudomonadota bacterium. RNAcentral's name for it is "bacterial SSU rRNA". It matches the Rfam family "Bacterial small subunit ribosomal RNA", at positions 355 to 866 of the family's 1533-position model. The record is from RNAcentral. Lineage: Bacteria; Pseudomonadati; Pseudomonadota.